UGACGAGCGGCGGACGGGUGAGUAAUGCUUGGGGAUCUGCCCUAUGGCGGGGGAUAACUGCGGGAAACUGCAGCUAAUACCGCGUAAUAUCUAAGGAUUAAAGUGUGGGACCGUAAGGCCACAUGCCAUAGGAUGAACCCAAGUGAGAUUAGCUAGUUGGUGGGGUAAUAGCCUACCAAGGCGUCGAUCUCUAGCUGGUCUGAGAGGAUGACCAGUCACACUGGGACUGAGACACGGCCCAGACUCCUACGGGAGGCAGCAGUGGGGAAUAUUGCGCAAUGGGGGCAACCCUGACGCAGCCAUGCCGCGUGAAUGAAGAAGGCCUUCGGGUUGUAAAGUUCUUUCGGUAAUGAGAAAGGGGCUUUGCUUAAUAGGUAAAGUCAUUGAUG
RNAcentral lists this ribosomal RNA (389 nucleotides) under unidentified Bisgaard taxon. Its description in RNAcentral is "bacterial SSU rRNA". It matches the Rfam family "Bacterial small subunit ribosomal RNA", at positions 89 to 474 of the family's 1533-position model. The record is from RNAcentral. Lineage: Bacteria; Pseudomonadati; Pseudomonadota; Gammaproteobacteria; Pasteurellales; Pasteurellaceae.